AAGUUUAAUGUGGACUAAGUUACUAAAGUUGAAAAUAUUAUCUUAAAAUAGCAUAUUUAAUUUAUUAAUAAUAGGCUAGCAACUUUUAUUGAUUUCUUUGUUCUAUCAUUAGAAUACUUGAAUAAUAUUAGAAGUAGGGGUACUGAAUAGGCUAAAUAUAUUUAGACCUUAUUCCCUAUUGUGAGAUAUUUAUGAAUUUCAUCUUCUUUUAAAUACUGUAGUUAGGUUACUGCAUCAUUUAUUCAAUAAAUUUUAUUUUAUUUAUUCAAUAAAUAAUAAAAAAGGAUUUGCUAACAUAAGUGAUUUACAUGUAGGCCUACUGCAGUCAGGCUACUUGUUGGAAAAUCCAUUUAGAGAAAUGAUUCAAGAUUAAGCUUAGAGUGGUUUAGCCAAAUGUGGAUUGUUUUAUAAAAUAAAGUUUUUCAGUAUUUUAUAAAAAGUUUUCCAUUAACCAAAUUAUAAACUGAAUGAAAUUCAACCAGACUCACUGAAGCCCUAGAGCUGAUUGGAUUGGUUGUUUGAAGAUAAUUUAUAUACGGUACUUAGACUACUGUAAUUUGUAGCAUCAUAGAGAAACAAUAGCAUAAAAAACAUCUCAUGGUGUUUAAUUUAAUGGUUUAGUAUAGGGCUCUUAUGUUGUAAAUUUCACUGUUAACUCAAGCCGCUGAUAUUCCUAUGGUAUUUUUGCUUUAUUGUAGGCCUAACUCAAUAUAAAUAUAAUAACUCUGGUACUAUGAGGUCCACCUAAUGGCAGCAUUUGAUUAACAUUGGUGUUGCUAUUCUUGUCUAUCAUUAGACAAAUCAAAUUGCUUUGGAAAUUGAAAUAAGUUUUGCUCUAUCCUCAUGUUGCUUCACAUGAUUGUUUAUUUACAAUGUAAAAAUAUACCUAAUUAAUUAGACCUUACAAAAAGAUUUAAUUUAAAUCAUGAAAAUUUAUGAAUUACUAAUUGAAUAAUAUAUUUUCUUGACGAAUAAAAUAUUAUUUAUUAUUAUUAUUAAAUAGAAUGCACAUUUAAUAUUGGGUUACAUCAGAUAUGUUAUUCCGAAUCAGCUAUUCUCUAUUAUAGGAGCCAGUGGCAAUACAGGAAAUCGGCAAUGCUGUUGUCCUAUCUUUUCUACUGGCAUUAUAGCAUUGACCUAACUAUAAGCCUACUUGAAUGAAUGAAUUUAUUUGCCAAAAACAAGAUACAAACAUAAAAAUUAAGGAAAUGUUAAUCUAUUUAAUUAGAAAUUAUAACAAAAUGAUAUCCUUAUUUAUGAUAAUAGUAUUAAUAAAUUGAGAUUAAAUUUAUGCUCACAUGCAUGAGUACAGUAGGUAAGGCAAAAAUACCUGCAGAAGGAAGAUUCUUUGUUUGCCAGUGUGACUCGUAUAAUCAGCUGUACUUAAGUAUCGCUGUAUUUAUUUACCCUCUUUGAAUGAGUAGUUUUCAUUUGAUCGCCAACUUUUUUCAUGCUAAUGUUAAAUUUAAUAUUAUACAAAAGUUUUCCUUAUAAAUUAACUUGAACUUAUUAUUUAUAUUUUACAGUGCCAAACUGAUCAACUGCAUCCCAAUGGAACGUUCAAGAUGUGAUUCAGUAACUGAUACGGUUGUUGCAAUAAUUAUUUUUGACCAAAUUGAAUCCACAAAAUAAUUGAAGAAAUGGUUUCAGAUGAUUACGAACAAGCGCAGCUAUCUUUGGAGAGGUAAUGCACCUACUGAUAUCCCGUGAUAAGAACUUGGGAGAGAUUUAGUGAAAACCUGGAGAACGGCCACUUAGCUCAAAAAUCUGAGCUGUUCACAUCAAGCUGAUAUUUGUGACAGCCAUUAUAGCUUUAAUCAUUUUCUCGAUUGAUCAAAGCACCACAGACUGCAUCGUUCGUCACCUCUGCCUUUAAUCGCGUUAUCACCUACUCCAAUAAGCCACCCCAAUAUCCUUAAUAAGCAAUAGAAGUUCUUAUCGACUGUGUAUGACUCAUUAAUAUCCAUGUUCUGUAUAAAUUUAUGUGAUAGGCCUACUGGUAUUAAUGUUGAUGUACCGUAAUGUUUUUUGCUCAUGUAUAAUUGAUAAUAAUACAUUAAAAAUAAAUAUAAUGUUAAAUUAUUA
This is a long non-coding RNA of Nilaparvata lugens (brown planthopper), 2085 nucleotides long. RefSeq lists it as uncharacterized. The record is from RefSeq and is a predicted model, not a curated record. NCBI's taxonomy places the organism in Eukaryota, Metazoa, Arthropoda, Insecta, Hemiptera, Delphacidae. The transcript has 3 exons.